This 95-nucleotide transfer RNA is filed under the name Alphaproteobacteria bacterium. Its description in RNAcentral is "tRNA-Sec". It matches the Rfam family "Selenocysteine transfer RNA". The record is from RNAcentral. Lineage: Bacteria; Pseudomonadati; Pseudomonadota; Alphaproteobacteria.
GGAAGGGGAUCGUGCCCGGUGGUGCGCUCGGUCUUCAAAACCGGUGGGGGGCGCCAGGCGUUCCCGGUGGGUUCGACUCCCACUCUCUUCCGCCA